Acinonyx jubatus (cheetah) is the source of this 18655-nucleotide long non-coding RNA. RefSeq lists it as uncharacterized. The transcript is spliced from 2 exons. Lineage: Eukaryota; Metazoa; Chordata; Mammalia; Carnivora; Felidae. The record is from RefSeq and is a predicted model, not a curated record.
GAACAUUUUCAGGCAUCUUUACUCUUGGAGUGUAGCAUGGGAAAGUUCAUUCCCAAAGACUGUACCUCUGGGUGUUCUGGUAGAGUUGGGGGAUGAAUCGGUAAGAAUGAAAUGAAAACGGGAUGAAAAUCCGUUUACUCUUAAACACAGGCAGGAAUGGGGCAUCCUACUUUUAGAAUAGAAAUUUCAUUAUACAAAGGCAGGGUGGAGGAAACCUAGUUUGACAGAAGUUCAUGUGAAAACAACCGAAGAGUGUAAGUUGACCUCAAGAUUAAUCGAGGCCAGCAGUGUGACAUUGCCUUUUAAAAGGCGAAGGCCAUGUUGGGCUGUGGUCUGACCACAGCUGGAAUGUUUUUGCCCAGUUUUGGUACACAUGCUAAAAGGAAUGCCAGCAAAAUGGAGACCUGGGUGCUAAUGGAUCAGGAAAUCAUAUCAUAGGAGGGGCAGUUGAGAAAAACAUGGCUCUAAAGUCUGGAGCAGAGAUUCCUUAGAAUGACCUUAAGAAUGAGCUUAAAUAUUUAAGUGUCUGCUGGGACAUUCUCUUGUUCUCUUGUAAGAGUUAGGUUUUCCUCUGGAGCCUCAAACCCACACCUGACAUGAAAACACCUGAGACAAAAACCUGAGUUAACAUCUUGCACUGCCUGACCCAUUUUUCCCAACAAUCUGCUCAUCUUCCUGUGUUUCAAAAUGAGUGGCUGUCUCCAUUCUUCACCCUGUCAUCCAGACCAGAAAUCGGGCAUUAUCUUUCACUCAUCCCUUUCACUCAGGGAAAAAAAAGAUGUUGCAUUUAAAGUCAGCACCUCUGGACUGGGCUUCUGUUGCUCUCUAACAACUCAGUUGCUAAUAGCUUUUGAUAGGGAGGCAAACUGUUAAACUUGAUAAUUUCUAAAGAGUUUUGAGCUAUUUAGCACUAAGUGAUGCCAAAGAAAAAGAAUACUAGCGUUACUCACAGCAGAGGGAAUAAUUUAAUAUCCUUCUUGGGGGCCGAGGUUAAGUUCUGUGUGACUCAGCACAUUAUCAUCCUCUAUGACCCUAAAUCCCUUCUGUUUCCUGAUCUGCUUGUCUUGACCUGUUUCAUUUCCACACCAAAAUAGUUUCAUUAACACUAUGAUCAUGCACAGGAGAUAGUAGUUAACUGAUGUAAUUAACUGGUGUGUCAAAGGCUAUUGGUUUAUUGCAUAUGCAACUGUCUUUCCUGGUGGGAAGAUACACUUUCUGCUGACAUAAUAGGUCUGCAAACAUGCCAAAUUGCCAAAUAAUCUGCUGGGUGAUGGUGAGGUGUUUGUGGUGAUUCCACUUACAUAGGCAGAAUGGUGGGAUCUUUUACUGUGUUCUCCUAAAAUGCAACUGGCCAAAGGUGCUAAUUGCUCAACGGUUGAAACAGAAGAAGAGAAGGCAAUUUAGUUCUGGGACUUGGUGAGGUUCUUUUCCUUUCCCUUUUUUUUUUUUUUUAAAUCUCUGCUUUUGGCAUGCUAAUGAAUGCAUUUAGUCUCUGCAAGAAAUUUCCGUUUAAGAAAGAAUUUAAAAACACGAAGUGCUCAAUCCAUAUCUCCUAAACAACUAAAAAGACUGCAAUUUCAAAUGAGAAAUUAUGUUGCAAAGAUGAAAAAAGUUGUUUAUUAUGGCUCAAAAUUUUAAUCACCCAAGGGCUGUAAAGUUAAAAAUAGACAGUUCUGCCUUCUGUUUAUGGUAAACUUGGCUGAGUCCCGGCAAAUUUCAAAGCUGAACAUACUGUAUGUUAUUUUUGCUUAAUUUUAGAUUCCACAUUUUUAAAUUAUUUCUUACAAGAAGCAUAUUUCAGGAUAUAAACUUAGCCUGAAGAACAGUAUUCUUGAUUUCUGCCCAUAUUGAAACUCCUUUGAAAAUAGUAAACUAUGGUUUUGGGAUUUUCCUGUUCUCAAGAGUCCAAAUGGGUACCUUUCUAAGUCUUUUACAUUAUGAAUGAACACAGGAAUACAAAAUCGUAAAGGUUGCUUUCUGCUAUCCGGUUCCCAUACUUGUCAUUUUGGUUUUCUUAACAGUAGAACUUGAUGCAAACAUAUGGCAAUACACACUGGCUUGGACUCUAGGGAGGGGCAUUUUGUGUCGCCCUUCGUGUUUCAGGUUAAGGAGACAGGAAGGCGCGGACGGAGACUCUCCUGGCCGAGGCAAAGUGUCUGCCCCUGGGCCAAGAGCUUAAGAGAAAGCCUGGGAUAGAACCUUCCAGCUGUAGCCACCGGACAGUGUAGCUUCUCUUCUGACCCGUUCCCGCCUGCCAGCAGAACCGCCUGUGUGGUGACUGUUUGCCCCAAGAGCAAGUAGGAUUGUUGACUCAACCCUCUUCAUGCCUCCUCAGAGAGGAGAAACACCUGGCUUCACCUCUUUACAGAGCUCUUGUUGAUUCUUGCCUCCGCGCUCUUGCAGAGAGCUCUUGUGGGCCUUUCCUCCCAGGGUUUUUAGAACAAGCCCUUUGGGUGGCAAGAAAUCUAGGGAAGGGAUCUUUCUUUUUUUUUUUUUCCUUAACCCAUUACUCCAUGUGGCAUCUGAGAAUCAAACAUGCCCCACAGAGUGACUGGCAUGCUCGGUAAAUAUUUGCAAAAUAUUGUCGAGUGAACAACCAUUUACUGAAGAUCAAGAUUCCUAUGAUGACCCUGACGGAGGUUUAUUUGCGAUUAAGGCUGUGAUAGCAGUACCCAUACAUUGAUACUGUGCCUCUGAACGGGCAAAGGAUAUGUCACAACAUUCACGAAAGUCUCAGGCCCUUAAUCAUGAGGUAGGUAAUCUCCCAGGUCCCAGCCAGAACCUGCUUACACUUAAUUUGCACACAACUUUAAUACAGUUGGUUAUCUGUUUUUCAAAUACACCGCAGAUCCAUUCAUUCAGUAAAUAUUUUCUGAAAACCUAUUAUGUGCCAAGUAUUCUUCUAGAGACGGCAAACAAAAAGGAAUCUUGCCCUUUAGAGAGAUUGCAUUACAGAUUUAUACAUUAGUGGCUCUCAAACUGUGGUCCUCAGAUCAGCAGUAGCAGCCUCACAUGGAGACUUGUCAGAAAUGCAAAUCCUUCGUCCCCAGUCCAGAAAUUUGGGGACUUAAGUUCAGCAAUCUGUUUUUAAACAAGCCCUCUAGGUGAUGCUGAUGUAUGCUACAGUUUGAAAAUCACUGUUCUAGAGGGCUUAGAACAACAUUUUUGUGUUCUUGAAGCAGGUAGCUCUGUAGAAAAUUUUGUUGCCAAAUUUAUCCUGUGUGUGUGUGUGUGUGUGUGUGUGUGUGUGUGUGUGUGUGUGUCUGUCUGUCUGUCUGACUGUCAAGGUCUGACUUCAUGAUGGCAUUCAAUGAUGGGGCGCUUGCUGGGCAGAGGCACUAGGGCACUUACACGUGAGAAUAUGGACCCUAGACUCCUACAUACAUGGAUUCAGAUUCUCACUCUGCCAAGCACUAGCCACACGAACUCGGGAGAAUUAUGAGAACUCUGUGAACUUUGGUUUUCUUGUGCAAAUGCAGGUAUUAGUAAAAGGACCAUACCUCAUGCUUGGUGCAGCUGCUCGGUACCAAAAAAAAAUGCUCAGUAACUCAGUAUAAUUGUUUUUCUCUCUCUCGGAUGUAGCCCUGGGCUUGGCACAGGGUAGGUGCUCAGGGAAUGUUCUUUAGAAAAUGGAUGGAUAUUUAUUUUCCUUUGUGUUAGCCAUUAGCCUAAGACCUGCAGCUGUUUAAUUCCUACCCUUUGUCCAUCUUUAGCAGAAGUUACCAGAAUAAUGAGACCCAGCAUUAGAACAUACCUGACGCACACGUUCCCUUUGGAAAUGUGUGUUGACCUGCCUCAGUGUGGCUGCUGCUGGUACUUAAUCCUCAUCAGUCUAAGUGAGGUUGCCUUCCCUCUGGCUGUUAACUUUGGGAUAUUUCAAAUGCCUAUAAAAUCUUAUUUAAUUAAGGCUCUUCCAUAUCUGCUUGUACAUAUUUUAUUCUUGAAAUGCUGGUGGCAUUAAUAGUAUAUCUAAGAGAAUCAAACCUCUGCCUCUUUUAUGCCAUUUCAGCACUAAGCCAAGGAGAAAAACUCUCAAGGAAAUUAAUGCUUCCCUCAAGUACAGUAAGAACACGAAUCUAACAUAUUGCCAUAUAACCUGGUUUCACUGACUUUCCGAAGUUUUGUUUUGCCAUUUUUAUUACAUGUCACGUUGUAUGGCUAACACCAGAAGUACAAUUAUGAGGAAGCUGUUCUCUCAAAAUCUGCGGGGUCUGCCAGUCAGAUAACCCUUCAGAAGAAACAGUAUCCACCAGAGAUUUGGUUGUUAUUCACAAGCAGAUUAUUUUUUUUUUUUUUUAUUUUUAGACUUUCAUUAGUUCACUAAAUAUUAUUAGCAACUAUCGUGUGCCAAGCAUCGUUCCAGGUGCUGGCGAACGAAUGGGACAAAAAUACCUGCUCUCCAGGUGCUUGGUUACUUUCUUUUUCACCGGUGGGAGUGUGUUUGGAUGUCUGUGGCAUGGGGCGCCCUACCCAGAAGCUGGGUCUGGGGUGGAGGGCACGCGACAGAGAUGCUCAGAUAUGAACUCCCUCACUGCUACAUGAUCACUCCCUUCCGGUCGUAGAAGCAAGCACCUGUUUUAGGUUUUAUGUGUAAAGUUUAACUCCUUCAGCAGUGACAACUGUCACUGUUUCUCUGCUCUGGCACGUCCUCGUGCCCUGGAUUUGUGAGGUGACAUUAGUGCUGAUUUAACUUAGCUCUUCUUCAUGUUACUGCAAACUCUGUUUUAGUUUCCUAUUGCUGCUAUAACAUGUUACCACAAGCUUAGUGGUUUAAAAGGACACAAGUUUAGGGGCACCUGGAUGGCUCAGUCGGUUAAGCAUCGGACUCCGGCUCAGGUCAUGAUCUCACAGUUCUUGAGCUCAAGUCCUGCAUGGGGUGAUCACAAGCCCCGUUUCGGGUGAGCUCGAGCCCCACUUAGGGUGAGCCUUGCUUCUCUCUCUCCCUCUCUCUCUCUGCCCCUCACUCACUUGCCUCAAAGUGACUCAAAUUUAUUUUCUUCAGCUCUGAAGGUAGGAAGUCUAAAAACCAGGUUGGUGUCAGUAGGGCUGGUUGCUUCUGGAAGCUCCAGGGAAGAACCCUGAUGGCUCAUUCAGCUUCCAGAGGCUGGUUUGGCACUCCUUGGUGCAUAGCCGUAUCACUCCAGUCUCUGCGUCUUUCUCCCAGGUCUUUGAUCCUCCUGCCUCUCUCUUAUAAGUAACCUUGAGAUCACAUCAUUGGGCCUACCUGGAUAAUGCAGGAUAAUCUCUCCACUUUCCGGUCCUUAACUUGAUAACAUCUGCAGAGUCCCUUUUGCCAUAUUCACAGAUCUGGGAUUAGGACAUAGACAUCUCGGGUAGGUGGGCUUCAUUAUUCAGCUAAGUCUACCCUGCCAGAGAUUCCAGUGUCCUUAGGCUCAUUGGCUGAUAGGCAGGAUUUUUUUUUUAAAGUAGUUUCUUCCAUUCUAGAAAACCCACCCCAACAGAGCACAGUCUAAAAUGCAAAUAUUGCUAACUUAGCAGAGUCACUUACACAUGCAUAACUACCAGAAAAUCUCCUUAAUGAUUCCUGUUUCUUCUACAAGACUGAGCUCAAAAGCCCUGCCCCCAGGAAGCCUUCCUGGGUUAUCUUGGGCUUGUGAGGUGUUCUUCAUGUGAGACUCUCUGGCCCUCUCUGCGCAAGUGACUACAAGACAGCACCUUUGCUGUUGUGAUUUUGUGGAUUUACUCGUCACCCCCCUGGCCCCCACAUCCCCUCCUCUUCCCCUGAAUAGUGUGCUCUUUACAGGAAGGGACUGCUUCUGCUAGGCACUAGAAGAUAUUUGGUAUAAGUUUCUGUAGCAACGGAAGGAUUCUUCUCUCACACAUUUUUGAGAAACUGUGUGAGAUGAGUCUCACUUAAUUUCACUUGAUAAGGUAUUUUAGAAGUUGGGAGUGGAGUGUGGCCAGGUGGGUUCAGAAAGGACUGGCACCAUGUGGCUUUUCACAUGAUUUGGACACCUGACUGGGUGGUGAGUUAGUGACUCUUAUGGACACUUCUUUUCAAGUGAAUAUAAUCCUGAAGCUGUGCACGCUUUUUCCCUCAGUGUCAUCAUAAAUCUACUACAAUUAGGUAGAUUCCUAAUAUUUGGAAAUAAUGAUAUAAAUCAGGGUGAAUGACUGAAUACUAAAAUAAAUUUUCAUUACCAAAGAACAUUCUGUGGCCUGAUAACUUUUAGGGUUACUCUAAUGGAAUCAUACCUCUGGUCAUUGAGAUAUUUUACUUUAUUUCAGUUUUUAAAAGUAGAAUCUUAUUACAUGGAGAAAUCUGUGAGUCCUGCGUGGUUACUGUUAGAAAUUCAUUUUGCCUCUUUUAUAAUGUUCAGGCUGAUUUUUUUCUUCUUUGUAAGUAGACUUUGGGCUUUAUGUUGUUGGAAAGCAUGUAAUUUUCAUUUGUUUUUUUUCACCUAGUGGUGCUUAAUGAUACCAUGUGAAUUUUUAUGGUCCCAGCUGCACCGAAGUGUGUGCUCUGAAACUUCAGUUGGAUUAAGAGCCUACCUUGGUGUGAGGGCUGAAAUUGGAGAAAUGGGAGAACACAGGGUGCAUCUAUAUAUGUUGCAAUUAAUAUUGAUGAGUGGGCAAAAGUCCAAUGUUAUCCUAGGGGGUUCGCUAAUGUUCAUUGUAAACCAAUGCAAGUGAGUCCUUCCCCUGCAGGUGUGAAUAGUUUAGUAGGUGGAUUAGGAAAAGCAAGGGGCAUUUUCUUAUGUUCCAGUUCAUGUUUCGUAUGUUGAACAUGAACCAGCCAUGUAACGAACGUACAGCUCAUCGUUGAGUGGUGGCAACAAGUAUCCGAGACAUGGUUAACCCAUCUCAGUACCUCUGAGGUCUAGCAUCAUGCCUGGUACAUGGUAGGUGCUCAUUAGCAUUUGUGAAAUGAAUAGAAGAAUGAAUGAAAGAUUGCUAUUACAAGGUCUCUUAAGAAUACUGGCCCCUGCCUACCCCUCAAGCCAUCUUGCCUUCCACCUUCUAGCCAUAAUAUACUAUUUGUAGCUUGUUCAAUGUUCUACAUUCUUCUUCCCUUUGGACCUGUUUACUUUCCGUCUUCUCUCCUUCAAGCCCCUUCUCCCCCCACACCUCCAUCCCUUUGUCUGGCUGAUUCCUGUUGGUUCUUUGUGAUUUGGUGCCUUCCAGAAGACUUUCAGGAGGCAUCAUUGCUAGUAUCUGAUUGAAGGCCUGGUUGGUUUUUCAUCUCUCUCUGAACCUUUGAAUAACAGCAGCACGCUUCUGACUAGUGGACAUGUUGAAAUCUGUGUAUCUAUCUGAACCUUCUUUUCAGGAGAAUGUGGAUAAUUGUCAGAUGCUUGAGUCAUCUGGUUAUCCAUUCAUUAAAUGUUUACUUGUUUUGAGAGAGAGUGUGAGCGUGAGUGGGGGAGGGGCAGACAGAGGGAAUCCCAAGCAGGCUCCACGCUCAGCGUGGAACCCGGUGCGGUGCUCGAUCCCAUGUCUGUGAGAUCAUGACCUGAACUGAAAUCAAGAGUCGGACGCUCAACCUACUGAGCCACCCAGGCGACCCAGUACUUUGUGUCUAGCAAUGGGCAAAACAUGGCUCUAUAGUACCAGGAGCAGAAGUAGUCCAGUGAGGCAGCCAAUUCUCUCGCGUUUACAGAGCAUCAGCCUCAGGGUAAAAUGGGAUGAUGAAGGAGAACCACUGAUGUAUUACUUUUGGUGUGCUUGAUACCAAAGGGUCCAAAGGCAAAUAGAAGUUGGGAAAUUGAACCAUUUCCUUUCUAAUUCAAUUUAGGAAAGGUUGGUGCAUAGUAGGUGCUCAGCCAACAUUUCCUGAGGAUGAAAGGUUUUUAUUUUUUUGCUUUAUAAUAGGAUUAAAAAUUUUUUAGAUAGUCUCUUUCACUCCACACUCCUUUUUGCCCACAUAGCCCUAGCUUCAGUCUAUACUUAGUGCUUUUGCUAAGACUGACUCAUCUUGUUUCCGAUUGCUUUAGUGAUAUGAGACUCUGGUAUCCAUGGGAAUGGUAUAAGACUGUAUUGCUUUCAUGCUUGGAAAAACAUUAACCAGAAAGGCCAGCUAUUGGUACCAGUACCAAGUAACUCCUGAGAACUAUAGGGUAAUCUCACCCUUAAAUUCUUAAGACAGUGUGUAAAACAGCAUAAUCUGUUGGAAAACAAAUCAGUCUUUGUGACAAGAUAGGUGUGACUUAAAUCUUGUCUCUGCUGCCAGGCUGUGUGACUGUGGGCAGGUUAUUCACCCUCUCUGCGUUCCUUCAUCUCUGUUUUUUUUUUCCAUUUGUAAAAUGAGGGAGCAAUAUUAACUCAGGACUGUUCGAUAAUUAGAAACGCUUUUGUAAGUGUCCUAGUUUAUAUCUGAUGCUCAGUAAAUGGUAAGUAUUAUUAUGAUGAAUAUUACUACUGUAAACCAUAUUAGAUAUAGGCCCUGGAGGGUUUCAACAAGGACAUGGUUACAGGUUGCUACCAAGAUCAGGGAAGGACAGCUGAAUUAGAUCUAAACAGACUCCAUUUGUCUGCAAAGGACCCUUGGUUUUUUUCUUUUUUCUUUUACCCCCUCUGGGAAGAAUUAACAUCGUUUUAAGAAGGGAACUGAGUGUCUUCCCUCUGUUCUGGGUGUUUCAGAGUUGACUAGAAAUUGAUCCUAGUUACUAAGGAAGAACUUUAAAAAAUACACGUUAGGAGUCAGGAUGGUGUAGAGGUAAGAGCACUGACCCAUGUUCCCAGGGGUCAAGGCUCUGCUCAGCUCCACAUUCUCUGCCAAGUCCCUUUCCAUCACUGUGCUAUACAUCCCCCCGCUGGGAGCACAUUGGAGCAGAAGAUUAUCUGGCCCUCUGGUUGGUUUUCUUCCCAAGGCAAGUCCUUCUUCCUGACUGGGAGUUAGGAUGGGUGGCCCUAGCUGGGCUGGUUUUAUUGUUCCAAAAAGUGUCAGCAGAGAAAUGGCCAGAUCUUGGAGUAUCCCUUGUGAUUUGACAUUUGGGGGCAUCCUUUUAUGUUCAAUGUACCUGGCCCAAAAGUCUUCCAGCUCAGAUAUUCUGUGAGUGGAAACUCUUUGAAUAAAUGUAAACCUAGAAGGGAUUUUCAGGGUAAAUUUAAAAAUUCUCCUGUGGUUCAGCUGUAACAACUCCUUCUCACAUGAAACUUCUUUGGGGGCAUUGAUAAUACUUGUAUUUGAAUGGGGAAUGAAUUUCCCAGCUUCCUGGGAACAACAACAACAAACAUUCCCCCAACAAACCCCAGGGUGUCUGACGCUCCCGCUUUCUUCUCAAAGAGCCGAUCGAAAACUCUUCUGUCAGCUCAAGAGCUAUCAGCAGUAUUGAACAAUUAGACUAGAAGGAACGGUGGUGAACAGUUGUCCCUAAAGGCUUGGAAAUUAACAAAGGCCAUAUUAGUAGGAGCAGGGAGGGAGGGGGGAUAUGAAGAGAAUGGGGGCUGGGAGGGACAAUUCACAAGUGGGGAGGGUGAUUUGGAGGGGUUUGUUUCCCAGAUAGUUUUCAAAGAAAAGAGAUUUGUGUAGUUUGCCAGGGGCUGAGAAUGAAGCACAGGACCAGUUGAUGUUCUUUUUUAUCCAACAAUUACUUUUCUCUGGCACAUUCCUUUUAGGCUAACAAAGUGUCUUCCUUUUCUCUUUCAUGGUCAUUGAUAGCAAGAGCUUAAGGGAUCUUUGCUUCCCAGGGCUAAGGGUGUGGUGGAGAGAAGGACACAAGGAAGAGGGAAUUGACAUUUUUCAGAUUUUCUUGAAUUUUGUCACAAACAAGGGAAAGCCAUCCAAUGCCUACGGAAGGCUCAGGUUUUCAUUUUAGUCUGGGGGUGAUUGAUUUCUUUCUUUCAAGGGGCUGAUGGAGGAGGUCAGCGUCUUAGGGAAGAAGCCAGGGAAAAGGAGAAAAGAAAGAAUGAGAUUUAUGACCUUCUGGAUCCCAGCUUUUAUGUCGCGUAACCAUUCCCAAUACUGGAAGUUCAUGACACCCUGAGAACCAGCCCGGGAACCCGGAGCAGUGAUCUGCAUGCAAAGGAGGAAUUAAACAGUCCAGCAACUGCUUUGAUUGAGAGACACACAAGAUCCUGUCCUGGAUUCUGAGCCCGGCUUCCCUUUAGUUCAUCCUGUAGGCACAGAAUCCAGUGUUUCACGCACUGAUGAGACAGACCACCCAGGGCCACUCAUGUUAUACUGAGGGUGAUUGACGACGGUGCUUAUAGAGGAAUUAUUUCAACAAUGGGACUUUUCCAUUAUUCUCUCUGCAGUCAGCCCUCCACGAUCAGUACAUGGAAAUCCUUGCAUCUUGUCACCGAAGAAUACUAAACUAGUAGGUGUUGCUCCCAUAGCCCCACCCUGGUCCCAUAACCCUGAGCUAAUAACUGAAGAUCUUAAAAAAUGUAUGUAUGGUCCAUUUUUAUUCCAUAUGGCCCCUUAGGUAACAUGACCCAAUGUGGCCAUUAAAUGACCCCGCUUACACUUGGAUUACUCGGUACAAAGCAAAUUUAUGGUUGUUUAUUCUCUCCUCCUAUCAGCUAUUAGUGCCUAAUCAUAUGGUCUAUCGAUCAUGAGAUUAAUCGCCUGCUCAAAGAGGCAGCAGGUCUCGUGGAAUGCUGCACUGCGCCAGACUGAACUUCAACCUUUUAUACAAACUGGAGGAGUCAAAAUCAUCAUUCACUGCCUGAAGCCCCUGGUCCCUGGGCCUCCUGAACCCCAGGAGGUAAAUCCCUGCUUUUUCACACAGUGUACUUUGCACUUCCUUUCCUUGUGUAAAACUUCACCUCAUUGAUUCAGGCAGGCACUUGCAAAUAAAAUCCUUUGCAAGGCGUCCUAUAAAUAAUGAUCUAAGCUGAAAAUAUGUGGGCUUUAUUAUACAAAGCCCCAUAGUGCUGCCAUAAUUAAGGUCUGUCAGUAUUUCUAUUACAGAUUCUCAUUUUGGAAGAUUUAUAACUGGGCCAUUAAAGUUUUCUUGGGCUAAGACUUUCCAAGAGUGUCAUGUUAGACCUUUUUUUUUCCUUUUUGUAGAAUAUAUUUCUUAAAAAAUAUAUAUAAUUAUUAAGUCCAGAAAGCCUGUCACACAGUAGUACAUACCUGCAAGGGUUGGACGCUAAAAUCUGAGGACUGCAUCGCCUAGAGUGGCUUCUGGUCACCCUCCUCUGCCCUUUCAUUGCAGUUGUGAGAACAGAGAAUCAUUGUAGUGUUCAUGCUGUAUUGUGAUGUUUGUUUCCUGGUCUGUGUCUUCUCCUCUAAGGAGAGUGAGAGUAGGCAACUUAAAUCAUUUGUCUCUCGAGCCCUGUGUUUUUCAGAGAGGAUAGCCCCAUGUCAGCGCUGGGUUUGUUCAGUAAAUGCACCCAAGAAUGGGAAGCAGGAAACAUCCUUUCCAGUCCUAGAGUUGUUCAUAGCUGGGAGUAAACCAGGCGGUGCAUUUAGUCAAGUCACUUUACUUCUUGGAAAACAAGUUUCCUGAUGGUUGAAAUAAGUUCAGGCCUGGUAAAUUGGUGUUCUGUGAGUUGAAUGCUGCCAGCACAGUGCUUUCAAACAUUUUAAUCUGAACACCUUAUGGGAUGGAAUCUGGGCCUUCUAGUUGGCCAUAAUUCCUGCCAUUCCCCGGUAUAGGGUAUUAGCAGCCGCUUCAGUCAUCUGUCUGCAUGGUCUAUAAGUGUUUAUGAUUCCUCGUAGUGAUACCUUUAUAAUGGGACCUUGUGUUUUGUUGCUACUGUAAGGAUCUAAAUCUGAGAUUCAUGUUGGCCUGGGAUGCCUUUCAAUGCAAUCUGACUUCUCUCACUUCCAAUUCUUUCUCUCACCAAGAACCUCAACCAAUAUUUUUGACUCCAUGCUUUGAAAAGUUUUGUCUUGUAGACAAACUGCAUUGGUUAAUAAUUAAUUUCUUUUCCUAUUUUUAAAGCAAACAGACAUCUGUAACUGUGCUCACAGAUACAAAUAAGCCAUCAGCAGUAAGGGCAUGAAAUAGUUUUUGUGUAAUGAGUUGGUUGAUGCUUUAGCAAGGUUGUGCAGUUGUUUCUUGAGUAAGCCUAUAGUUUCUGUGUGAGCUUUUGAUCUACUAAAAAUAGCUCUUAGAUCUUCCUGCCUUUUUAGACAUGUGAAGUUCCAAAGACUCUAGGUGAGCGCUUAGUUUAUUCUUUUAUGAGUUGCUGGGCUACUCUUGUCCUCAAAGCCUCAAGUAAGUUGUUUGUCCAAAUAUGCAGUGCCAGUGUUUCAAAAUGUGGCCUUCCUGGUCAGCUUAGAGAGGGCAGUCUGUAUACAAGUUGGCUUUUGCAUCUGAUGAAAGGAUAUGAGUUACCUGCAGGCCCUUGUUACAUUUGUUCCCUUCAGUCAAGGGCAUUUUGGAAGGUUGUUAAAAAAAAGAGUGGAAGACAAUUUGAUACUUUGACUCCCAAGCUAAAGAGAACCUUUCCAUGUCAACUCAGGCUGUUGGUGACUAUUGUGGAUUGAGAAAUUAACAGCACACAUUUUAAUUAAAUAGAGCAAAUUAAAGAUCUGUAGCAUAGACGUAAUCUUGCAUGUAAACCAAUCUGAGGCCUGACCUUAGGUACUUAAGGUGGUCAAUAUCACACAGAAGUAAAGGGUUUUUGAAGAUAGCAAACUGAUUGACCCAGAGUAUCACACAGAUACAGUGUAACAAGAGGCAGCGCCUUCUUUGUGGCUAAGAGUUUAGGCUCUGGGGUUCUACUAAUUUGGGUUUAGUUCUGUCUUGGUUCCUUACCAGUUCUCACCUUGAAGAGAUUACUUAACUCUCCAUAAACUUCAGUUUGCUCAUUUAUAAUCUGAGGAUAAUUAUAGCAUGUUGUAAGGAGUAAAGGGGAAUAAUUCACACAAAGUAUUUGCAUCAUGUUGGUCAUAGAAUAAACAAUGCAUAUUAAUUAUCAUUAUUAGCCAGGACAUAGUUGAAAUAGAUUCCUGAGCUUUGGGGUUUUCUUUUUAAGAGUUUAAAGGUAUACUUAAGAUAUGCUUUCUUAAGAGUGUCCAUCCAUGCUGGGUCACUUACCUACCUUUCCAGGAAAUUGUACGUUUCAACAGUCCAGAUGUGCUGCUUUCAGUUUUUUCAGGAAACAAGUAAUGUUUGAGUCUAAAAAUCUAAGGUUGAAAUCUUCUUUCCUACAUUUUCUUUUCCCUCCAGAUCAAUCCAAAUUAAAGUUUCAUUGCCAAAGUUUCACAGCUCCUUAUUAGCAUUAAUUAUUAUUGGCGUGCUGUAGGAAUCCUAAAGUGGGUGCAUUAAGAAUUAAAACCCGGGAGAAAACUUGAAACCCUCAUGGACUCAUAGAGCUGGAAGGGACUUACGAGAUCAUGUCCUCUAAGCCCCAUUUUACAGAUAAGGAAAGUGUAUUUUACAAGGUAAAGUAAGUUUUAAACGUAAUGGCUUUUUAAUUUGCCCCCUCACCGGAAUCUGCGCUUAUUUGCCAUGUUGUGAUUAUGUUCUUAUCGUGGGACUUGUGGGUAUUUAUUAGAGACUAUGGAGAUGUAGCAUUGGGCAUUACUUUUGUGGCAAAGGCACGGGGGCACUAAUCAUUAUUAAUGGAUGCCAUUAUUUGGGAGAGCAUUUUACUGACUAUAGAGAAUUCAUUGCAUUGAUCUAUGGUGCCACAUUUGUAUUAUACCAGGUAGUUUAAAAUGAUAUUCUCUAAACUGUUAGGCUGAAAAAUUGUCCAAUCUUGGCAGUUAUCCCAUCAGUAAGACCUUCCUUUUCCUACUGAAAAUACAUAGUUCUGUUGAAAGAAACCUUUUGACUGGUCCCCAGAGCCCUGAAUGUGUUUAAAUCCCUCACUACUGAAAUAGGAGGAUUACUACUGCUAUCAUUGUUCUAAAACAAACUUCCCUUUGGACGAUAACAGCAGCGGUAAAUCAGAUGUUGAAGAAAGUACCAGCUUAACAUCAGUUUGCUUUAAAAGGGUUUCCUCUUUAAUUGACAAGUGUCAUGUAUAAUGGAGCAUGGUGACUCACAUAGAAAACCGUGUACCGGCCUUCCCGCUGGGGUUGGAGUUCUUAAUGAACAUCCGAGUGAAUACACGGAGGCGAAAACUGAAAGGGCCCCAGCUGUGGAGUAUUCACUCUGCUCGCUCUGGCCAGGGUGGUGAUCGGCACCAGCCACGCCGAUGACCAGAGAGAGACCCGUAUCGGUCAUGUGGCUGUUUUGUAGCUGUGAGCUGCUGUGACUGUGGUCUUUCCUAGUGACAUGUUGAAUAACGGCACAGAGUCUGGUGUCCCAUCUGAGGAAUAAACAAGGUUUUUCUUUCUUAACGUAAAGAUAAUAAGUUAUUUUUGGCAGACUCAACCUUCUCACAGAGCAGCAGUUUUCUUGAGCUCCGGACCACUUGCUAACACUCAGCCCCCUCAUGCUGCAGUCCCCGUUUUCCUUCCCCUCACUCCCCGAAAGAGAGCGGCACCGAUUUUUCAGGGGUGAUGUUUACAACAGUUCAACACACUUGAAUACAAGCACUUAGAAUAAUGUCAGUGGGGGUGGGGGGAGAGAAGGGCAUAUUAUUUUCAAAUUAAGUAAUGGAUGGGUAGUGAUAUUUUAUUUAUUAAAGCUCAUCUGAGUACCAGUGGAAACAGAAUGUUGGUUCUGAAGUGCACAGAUUAGAAAGGAAUGUUGAGUUUGGAAACGUGGCAGCCUGCAGCACUGUGUAUGGUUUAAAUUAAACCUUUUUUUGGAAAGCAGAAUAGCUCUAGGCCACAUUUAAGGGAAACGCUACAGCAGAGUGAGCUGGCUGUGGUUUUUCUUUUACUCUGUAACCGGCCCACUUUCCCUUGUUUUAACACAGAAAAAAGACUUUGGACUCCUUCAGACCAACCACAUAGCUUCUCUGCUGACCACAAAAAGGAAGUUUGGCGUAGAAGCCAUAGGAUUAAUACCCACUGUCUCUUAACCCAACAGAGUGUGAAAACUUUUAUAAGAGAUUUCUCUGGGCAGACUGACACUGUGGUUGGACUUUAAACAUUUUAAAUCAAGAGCAACUUUGAAUUGCAUUAUGCCACAGUGCUCUGUAAAUUGUUAUGUGUGAUCCCACCGUUAGAAGUUAUUUACACGAAUCCCCAGGUUUCAGAGGGAUAAACCACUAACAGCUUUGUGUAUCUUGAUAAAGAAAUACAAGGAGAAUUAAAGGUAUGCCCAUGCCAAAUUAUCUCAGAGAGAGUAGGCAGAUCACAGUCAAUCAGAUUUUAUUGUUCUGAAGCAAAUGGAGACAGUUGGCUCUUGGCAGAAAAGCCUUUUCAUCUUUGCAAAUAAUAAGAUUAAGAUUGUGGAUUCUAUUAAUCACUUGAUCAACUUUAUUAAUUCAUCACAUUAUUUUUAAACUAGAGAAGAAACCUUCCUUUUAAUAGAUUCGCAUCUUUCUAAAAUAAUAGUUUUGCAUCGCAGAGGUGUUGUUUCAUAUGCUGACCUCCUCAGCUGUUAUAAAUAGUUAUUGGUGUGCCCUGACCAUUAAUUUUAAUGAUUGGAUUCUUACUAUCCUGAUUAACUAAUUAUGUGUUUGCACAGAGCAACUUUGAAAUUACCAACCAACAAACAACCCCCCCCCAAAAAACCCCAAAACCCUUGUGUGUUUGUAUUUGUAUGUACUCUUUGAAUGCCUAGGAUUGAUAUAUUUUUAAAAAAUCAUUUGAAUUUACAUUUUGCCAUGCUGAAGUCAGCAGCUUUUCACAGGUGCACUGUAUCAGCAUUCUGGUUUCUGUUCAACAAAGAAUGUCAAUCGAAAGAAUUGAUUUGAAAAGUUGAAGGAAAAACCUGCAUACAUGUUUCAAAACUGUGGUCUUAUGGUAACCACUGAGUUACUUCUUGGUUGACUGUAUGUCACGAGAGGGGUUUAUUUGCUGUCAUUAGAGAAAUUGGUCUGUAGAACACUUCCUGUGUGUGAAGAAAUGCAGUUGUCAUCUUGCCUAGGUCACUAAAACAGUAUUUAAAUACUUCCAGUUGUAAGGAACCUUGCAUUCAUUGUGGUUAUUUCCCCAGGAGCAGCCGUUUUGGGCUUUUCUGAACUUAAUAGUUGAAGAAGGUCAGAAAGAAAUGGUGUACUUUCUGGGUAAAGUAGUUUAGCCACCCCGGAGUAGAUGCGUUGCGUCUUGAUCUUUUUUCAUCUUAGUAGAAUUCUACUGUAACUAAUUGAAUCCAUUGAUCACUGUCUUGUAUCUCCCCUGCCCCCAUCUUCUUCUCAGAGGAUUCAUUUCAUAGGGGUCUAUACAUCAGUCAAGAAAAUGACUACAGAGGAAUUACCAAGACUGGUAAUCAAGGUAAUUUAACCUGGUUUAGUUUUUCUUUUUUUUCUUAAAGUACAACACGCUAAGUGUCCUUUACCUGGUGAGAGUUAACUUCUUAUCUGGUAAGAGUCUCCUGAUAGGAGUUAACGUCUUAAUUAGGUUAUGUUCCAAAACAAGUCAAACUAUGAUACUGAGCAGUACAUUCAGAACAGAAAGAGGGGAGAGAAAGCAUCGAUUUUCGAAUUAGUUGACCUGGUUUCCAGGCCUCUCUGUACCAAUGCUUUUCAGACUUCACUAUGCAUAUGAAUCAACUGAGGAUACUUUUGAAUGGCAGAGUCUGACUCAGUAGGUGCGUGGUGCAGCCCGAGAUUCUGCAUCGCUGACAGGCUUCCCGCCAUGUGGAUGUCCAAGUUGUAGGGCUCCAGACCGUACCCUGCAUAGCAGCAAUCUGUUACAGCGCAUACCGACUGAACUUGGUGGCUUUGGAGGACUAUUUAACAGCUCUGCAUCUCAGUUUCCUAAUCUCUCAAAUAGGGACGUUAAUCUUUGCCUGUCUCAUUAGGCUGUUAUGAGACUCAGAUGAGAUAAUGUAGAUGAAAUUUUAAAAGGCUACCUAAGUAUAAGACACCAAGGAUCUUUGCUUAUAGAUAAAGACAUUCUUGGCAUACCUUUCAUGGAAUCAGUGUGAGCCUCCUCCUGUGCUAGGAAGUGUCCUGAACUGUGCAAUAGGGGAGAGAGACUGGAGUCCUCACUUCCGUCAUCCACUCUAUGCCUUUGGCCAGAUCACUCCACCUUUCUGGUCCUCUUUAAAAUAAGGGCUUGACCUGGAUUAAUGGGUCUUGAAGUGUGGCUCCAAGUCUAGUGGCCUCGGCAUCACUUGGAAACUUGGUGGACGAGCGGAUGUCUAGUCCCUUCCUAGACCUAGCGAAUUGUAAAUUCUGGGGAUGGGGCCCAGCAACCUGUUGUUUAACAAGUACUUUUGGUGAUUCCGAUACAUGCUAAAUUUUGAGAACCACUCUGAAGUGUCCGACAACUUUGAAAUGUGAUAUUGAAGCAUUUCUCUGGAUAGGUUCAGUCGUGGGAAUGCCUUUCUGUGUGAUCCAGAGUGUCCUGUCUCAUAGGCAGAGACGAAUUGGGACUUGAGUAUUCUCCAAGGGUGCCCGCUGCACGUGUGGAAAGGAGGAAUGAACAUCUGGGUUUUAAGCCUGGCCUGCCUGGAAGUCAGAACAGAUCAUAACUGCACCGGCCCACACCUUCCUAGCUUAGCCCAGCCUUGGGACUGACUGCUUUAGUGGCCCAUGACAGCGGAUUAAGCCAGAGAAAAACAUGCAGGCUGAGGAGUUCUCUCUCAUUCUCCUCCUUAUCCUCCGAUUCUCCUGAUGGUGGUCAGCACAGUGCAGCACCAACUGACAUUUUUUUCAGGCACUUUCACAAAGAUUAUCACAGUCCAUUUGCAUAGGCAGGAGAUGAGGAGAGAACCAAGGAAAUAAAAUACAUCUUUUUCUUACAGUCAUUUACAGACAGACCUCACAUUCCUGUGGUUUUGCUUUUCUGUUUUGAUAUUUGGGAAUACAUCUGAUAACCAGGAAAAAAGCACAGCCAGCCUCCAGUUGUCCAAAGUAGAUUUUAUCAGGUUCAAGCACUAAAGCUCUUGAUCUUAUGUUCAUCAGUGAACCUAACUCCUGUCCGAAUCUGACAUUUUAUUCCAGACUAGCAAGUAAAGUCAUAGCAGACAGGUGCUUGAGCCUUGAAAGUGGAAACAAAAGAGAGGUGUUAGCUGGCAGCUUGAACAGUGAGAGAGACACUGUCAAAAGUAGAACAGAUACGAGGUCGAGAGGGUUAAUAGCUUGAGAUCCUCUCUCUCUAGAUAUACACAUAUGUAUACAUGUGUAUGUGUGUACAAUAUAAAAAUAAAUAUAGAUAGUACAUAUAUAUGUGUAUAUGUAUGCAUAUAAAGAAUUAAAUGCAUAGUAUACAUAUGUGUAUACGUGUAUGCAUGUAUAAAUAUAUACAGGUAUACAUGUAUAUAUAUGAAUAUACAUGUAUUUAUUUACACGUAUGUAUUUUUAUAUAUGUGCACUACAAAUAUCCUAUAUACUAAUGUUCCUAAGUAACCCUUUUGGGUAUUAACAGUAAUAGAACACUUCCGUGUAACUCAUGUUCUUUUUUUAAAAAUUUUUUUUUAACAGUUAUUUAUUUUUGAGACAGAGACAGAGCACAAGUUGGGAAGGGGCAGAGAAAGAGGAAGAGACAGAAUCUGAGGCAGGCUCCAGGCUCUGAGCUGUCAGCACAGAGCCCGACGUGGGGCUCAAACUCAUGAACCGUGGGGCUCAAACUCAUGAACUGUGAGACCACGACCUGAGCCCAAGUCAGACGCUUAACCAACUGAGCCACCCAAGGGCCCUCAUGUAACUCAUGUUCUUGAUAUCUUUAGGAAAAGAUCAAAUUAUGUUUCUGAAUAUAAGGAUAUUAGUUGCAAAUUAUAGAAUAUUU